AGGGGAUGGCGAAGGCAACGCAGUGAGCGGGCAACCUCUCUGUCCAAUUUUUCUUUUUUAAUUGAAAAAAAGAAAAAACACGUUUUCUUCAUUCCUUGUUAGCUAUGAGCCAUUGACCAAUCCAACAAAUCCAAAUCGAAAUAUACCAGCAACUGCAGCUGCUUCCUUAACCUCCAAUUCCAUAAUAACUAUCUAAUUUAUAUUUCUAUUGCUCAAUCUCCUACCAUGGUAUCUCAUCCUCAUUUUUAUACUUAUAUACGAGGUAGGUUGAAACUGAUUAAAGAAAAAACAAUGAAAACUUACAAAAUUUAGCUCCACCAUAAUAGAUUAGAUAUAAAAUCAUAUAUAUAUAUAGUAUAGAUAUAAAGUGAAGAUGAAAUUAGGAUCUAGACACGUAGGGUUGUGCAGAAAGCAGAAAGCGAAGAUGAUCAUUCCAGUGCGUUGCUUCACUUGCGGAAAGGUGAUUGGAAACAAGUGGGAUCGUUAACUUGAUCUUCUACAGGCCGAUUAUUUAGAAGGGGAUGCACUUGAUGCACUGGAUCUGGUUCGCUACUGCUGUAGACGAAUGCUCAUGACUCAUGUUGACCUUUUCUGCUUGUUCAUGUGCUGUGAUGUGAAGGAGUCGGUAUUGGCGUUUACUUAAAGAGAAGAUUCAGCGCAUGACUCGAGUUGAGCAGAUUUAUACGAACAUCUUUCAAGUGUUUACUAGUUUUUAGGAGUUACAUAUCAGAACUGCGUACUAUCAUAAUGUUGAAAGUUCGUUAGAAAGAAAGGAUGUAGUUAGUAUGCUGGAAGGAUUUCCGUUCUCGUAACUAAUUGCCUUUGUGAAAUGCUCUGUCUAUACCUGCACUAUCGAUAACAAAUUAAUACAACUAUCAUCAGAUGUUUAUAUA
This is a long non-coding RNA of Cucumis melo (muskmelon), 893 nucleotides long. RefSeq lists it as uncharacterized. The transcript is spliced from 3 exons. The record is from RefSeq and is a predicted model, not a curated record. Lineage: Eukaryota; Viridiplantae; Streptophyta; Magnoliopsida; Cucurbitales; Cucurbitaceae.